Molecule: non-coding RNA, 21 nt
Filed under: Arabidopsis thaliana (thale cress)
Lineage: Eukaryota; Viridiplantae; Streptophyta; Magnoliopsida; Brassicales; Brassicaceae
Source: RNAcentral
CUGGUGUGCUAUAACAUUUCA